RNAcentral lists this long non-coding RNA (391 nucleotides) under Zea mays. RNAcentral's name for it is "long non-coding RNA (ZMAY_LNC001548)". The record is from RNAcentral. Lineage: Eukaryota; Viridiplantae; Streptophyta; Magnoliopsida; Poales; Poaceae.
GUGGACUGGAUUGUUUCGAAGGGUCGUGCAUCUACUGAGGGUAUGACGGAGGUACAAGCUCAUUGGUGAAGAAUCACAGCUAUCUCACGUGGGGUGUGUUGAGGCUUGACAUCGACGUCGUAAUAUGAUCUUUAUCCUUUUGUGCUGGUGUGUUUGGUUGUAGGUGUCGUCGUGUUUUCUUUGGCCAUGUGCGGCCUAUUUUGCGGAGUCGGAGCUGCUUGUCCGAUGGGUCGAGCUCGGCAACGAUAACUCUGGAUGUGUUGUGUGUGAGGGGAUCCCGUUGUCGGCGAUGUUUGUGCAUUCUAUAUGCGGUGAGUGUUGUGCCGUGUUGGUGUCCCAAUCCAACCGACGAGUUUAGCGUGUUGGUGUCCCAAUCCAACCACCUGUUGUU